CAGCAGCGCGGUAAUACGAAGGGGGCUAGCGUUGUUCGGAAUCACUGGGCGUAAAGCGCACGUAGGCGGACACUUAAGUCAGAGGUGAAAUCCCAAGGCUCAACCUUGGAACUGCCUUUGAUACUGGGUGUCUUGAGGUCGAGAGAGGUGAGUGGAACUGCGAGUGUAGAGGUGAAAUUCGUAGAUAUUCGCAAGAACACCAGUGGCGAAGGCGGCUCACUGGCUCGAUUCUGACGCUGAGGUGCGAAAGCGUGGGGAGCAAACAGGAUUAGAUACCCCAGUAGUCCCUGUCUCUUAUACC
RNAcentral lists this ribosomal RNA (301 nucleotides) under uncultured bacterium. RNAcentral's name for it is "partial 16S ribosomal RNA". It matches the Rfam family "Bacterial small subunit ribosomal RNA", at positions 509 to 808 of the family's 1533-position model. The record is from RNAcentral.